RNAcentral lists this long non-coding RNA (1796 nucleotides) under Homo sapiens (human). Its description in RNAcentral is "uncharacterized LOC100132356 (LOC100132356)". Lineage: Eukaryota; Metazoa; Chordata; Mammalia; Primates; Hominidae. The record is from RNAcentral.
ACUUUCGCUAUUUGAAGACAUUAGGAAGUUAUGUGGUGGCUCCGUACCCUCCUUUCUCCAUCCGAGGCCGGGGUCCUAAAGUCGGUGUCACGGUGGCAGCACCCAGCGUUUUGUUGGCUCUUUCGCCAGCAGCGCCGAGCGGGGGGUUUUCUGUCACAGCACUUGUUGCACCGAAUUUCUCGGUCGCAGAACCUCUCUUUUCCGAGGGUCGACAUUUUCUGCGUGACAACACCGUUGGUUCCGCCAAAAUGGAUGUUGUCCUUGGGAACUCCUCCGGCUGGCGUCACUCUUAGGGUCCCAGCACCGCCAUUUCGCCAAGCCGAGUUCUCUUGGUCGCGGCACAUCUUGUUCCUCGGUGCCUCCAUUUUCUCGGUGGCGGCAGCGCUCUGGUAGCCGAUCUGAGGGAUUUGGAAUCGCAGCCAGUUGCGCAGAGUCUGGGGUUCCCGGGCGACGCCGGCGCUGGGCGGGGGAGCCCGCCGCUCCUCCGAGCCAGAGGCAGAGGAGCUGCGCGGACGCCGUCUCUUCACAGCGCCGCGAGCGCCGACGCACGGGUUCCUGCUCGGCCUCCUGAACCCAGUCCCCCGGCGGCGCCGCUGGCGUCUCUAUCGCAGGCCCCUGCGGUUUCGCCCGUCGUUGGCUUCUUGGUCCUAGCAAGUUUCGAUUUCGCGGUGCCCGCUAUUUCUACCUCUUGUCCAAAUAACUAGCCAAAAUGUGAUUUCUCAGCCUAAGCAAGUCCCGAUUUAGGGCAUCGGUCUAGCCCUGGCUGCGAUUUCUUGGUCCUAGGAAGUCACUGUUUAGCUGUAGCAAGGCAGACUUAACCGUGCGAUGGUGACUUUUCUUUUUCUUUGGUUCUUUUUCUUUUCUCUUUCUUUCUUGAUACGGGGUCCGGCUCUGUCGCCCAGGCUGGAGUGCAGUGCCGCGAUCUCGGCUCACUGCAACCUCCGCCUCCCGGGCUGAAGCGAUCCUCCCACCCCAGCCUCCGGGGUAGCUGGGACCACAGGCACGCGCCACCACGCCCGGGUAAUUUUUUGUAUCCUUCCUAGAGACAGGAUUUCGCCAUGUUGCCUGGGCUGGUCUCAAACUCCUGAUUUCUUAGUCUGACCAAGUCAGAGUUUAGUUAUUUCUUACCGUAGCAAGUUGAGAGUUAUUCCAGUUUGCGAUUUCUGGUUGUAACAAUUCUGGCUUUAACCAUGCCUACAUAAUUUUAGUAGUAGCAAAUUCCUGUUCCGUAAUAGGAGCCCCCAUUAUAGCCAUGCGUGCGGUUUAUAACUCCUGUAUUAAUCUAGGUACUGAAGAAUGCAAUUUAAAAAAAUUUAGCAGUGUCUGGAAUUUUUAAAUCAUACCAAGUUAGAAUUCGCAAUAGUCUCGCCCUGGCUAUGCUGGCGAUUUUUCACUCAUGUAGAAGUUGGGGUACGUCGGCUACAGAUAAUUGUUGGUGUCGCAAAUACCGGUUUAACCAUGGCUGUUUCUUCUUAAUCCGAGGAAACUUCGGAUAGGCGCAAGAGGCACGGGUUUAGUGCUGACAAAUAUAAUGGUAGGAUCUCACCAUUCGACCCUGUUUGCAAUUUCUUUCUGUUUGUAGGAUGCUUUGUAUGUUUUGUAUACUCAAAAAAAAAAAUUUUUUUUUGGUGUAUCUUGUUCUGGCAGCGAGGUUAUCAGUGUAUUUUGUUUUAAUUUCUAUUUGCUUUUAAAUUUUUAAUUAUUUUUUAAUUUAAAUGUUACGGUAUUUUUUUCUUACCCACUGUCUUCCCCGGUAGAAUAAAUGUGGCGUAUUUCUUCUACUGAAAAAAAAAAAA